Molecule: ribosomal RNA, 443 nt
Filed under: uncultured bacterium
Lineage: Bacteria
Description: partial 16S ribosomal RNA
Rfam family: Bacterial small subunit ribosomal RNA
Source: RNAcentral
CCUACGGGAGGCUGCAGUGGGGAAUAUUGGGCAAUGGGCGCAAGCCUGACCCAGCAACGCCGCGUGAAGGAAGAAGGCCCUCGGGUUGUAAACUUCUUUUAUUCGGGACGAAACAAAUGACGGUACCGAAUGAAUAAGCCACCGCUAACUACGUGACAGCAGCCGCGGGAAUACGGAGGUGGCAAGCGUUAUCCGGAUUUACUGGGUGUAAAGGGCGUGUAGGCGGGAGAGUAAGGCAGACGUGAAAUUCCAGGGCUUAACCCUGGAACUGCGUUUGAAACUGUUCUUCUUGAGUGAGGGAGAGGCAGGCGGAAUGCGGGGUGUAGCGGUGAAAUGCAUAGAUAUAAGGAGGAACACCAGUUGCGAAGGCGGCCUGCUGGACAUUAACUGACGCUGAGGCGCGAAAGCGUGGGGAGCGAACAGGAUUAGAUACCCUGGUAGUC